AGAGCGAACGCUGGCGGCAGGCCUAACACAUGCAAGUCGAGCGCCCAGCAAUGGGAGCGGCAGACGGGAUAGUAACACGUGGGAACGUACCUUUCAGUUCGGAACAACCCAGGGAAACUUGGGCUAAUACCGAAUACGCCCGUAAGGGGAAAGAUUUAUCGCUGAAAGAUCGGCCCGCGUCUGAUUAGCUAGUUGGUGGGGUAAUGGCCCACCAAGGCGACGAUCAGUAGCUGGUCUGAGAGGAUGAUCAGCAUCACUGGGACUGAGACACGGCCCAGACUCCUACGGGAGGCAGCAGUGGGGAAUAUUGGACAAUGGGCGCAAGCCUGAUCCAGCCAUGCCGCGUGGAUGAUGAAGGCCCUAGGGUUGUAAAGUCCUUUCGGCGGGGAAGAUAAUGACGGUACCCGCGAGAAGAACGCCCCGGCUAACCGUUCGUGCCAGCACGCCGC
Molecule: ribosomal RNA, 449 nt
Filed under: uncultured bacterium
Lineage: Bacteria
Description: SSU rRNA
Rfam family: Bacterial small subunit ribosomal RNA
Source: RNAcentral